CAAUAGCGUAUAUUAAAGUUGUUGCAGUUAAAAAGCUCGUAGUUGGAUUUGUGGUGGCUCCUGCGGUCCAAAAAUGUUUUGGUGCUGUUGGUGGCUACCAUCUUUGGGUGGAACCUGUGUGGCAUUAGGUUGUCGCGCAGGGGAUGCCCAUCGUUUACUGUGAAAAAAUUAGAGUGUUCAAAGCAGGCUUACGCCGUUGAAUAUAUUAGCAUGGAAUAAUGAGAUAGGACCUUGGUACUAUUUUGUUGGUUUGCGCACCGAGGUAAUGAUUAAUAGGGACAGUUGGGGCUAUUCGUAUUCCAUUGUCAGAGGUGAAAUUCUUGGAUUUCUGGAAGACGAACUACUGCGAAAGCAUUUAGCAAGGAUGUUUUCAUUAA
Molecule: ribosomal RNA, 377 nt
Filed under: uncultured eukaryote
Lineage: Eukaryota
Description: partial 18S ribosomal RNA
Rfam family: Eukaryotic small subunit ribosomal RNA
Source: RNAcentral